CAACCAUUUCCGUCAAACAAGAGUUUGCUACAAGCAAGAAUUCACAUUUUUGGUCCGACCAGGAAACAAUGGUAAUGUUAGGCAUUCUGAAAGAAAUGGAUAUUAUGAAGUGCCUUGAUGGCCGUAAGAACAGGAAUGGUGACAUAUUUAAAAGAGUCGCAGAAAGAAAGGGAGAGGAAGGUUACGUACGUUCGGCUGAACAAGUGCGCACCCGCUGGAAAAUCCUAAAAACUAGCUACUAUCGGGCGAAAAAACAAAACAACACCAGCGGUUCUAAUCCUUCAUCUUUCCCACAUUUUGAAAGUAUGCAUGACAUAGUCAUCGACCUUUGUCCAACAUUUCCGAGAAUGGAGUGGACAUUGGGUUUGACGGGGACGAGGAUGCAGCGGAACACUCGAAUUCAGUGGACGAGAGUGUCAUUGGGGAUGAAGUGAGUUCUCUAGCUCGCCAGGAGGAAAUGAACGAGGAUGCAGAUGAAGAUAAUGCAUCAUCAGCUGAUAUGUCUGGUACUCAAGAGGAAAGCUUUUCAGCCACAGCACCAGAUGUCGACCCACCCAGGACACAAGUUCCAUCUCCUUCAACAUCUGCAGCCACAUCAGUCAGUUUCUGCCAACCAUCAGAAUCAAGGAAGUGUGAAUGAUCCACAAUCUCGUUGAGAUGGUUAGAAGCAACGAGAAGAAUUGCCAUCAGAAUAACCCCGACCACAGCUGACAACCAGACACACACACACACGCACGCACGGACGCACACACACACACGGAAAGAGCACAGCACCUUUGCAAUUGUUCAAUUAAAAUAAAUGUACUUUGUUCCUUACAAUU
Ictalurus punctatus (channel catfish) is the source of this 821-nucleotide long non-coding RNA. Lineage: Eukaryota; Metazoa; Chordata; Actinopteri; Siluriformes; Ictaluridae. The record is from Ensembl.